Molecule: unclassified non-coding RNA, 347 nt
Filed under: uncultured Mortierella
Lineage: Eukaryota; Fungi; Mortierellomycota; Mortierellomycetes; Mortierellales; Mortierellaceae
Description: sequence contains ITS2
Source: RNAcentral
AACGCAUAUUGCGCUCUUUGGUAUUCCGAAGAGCAUGCUUGUUUGAGUAUCAGUAAACACCUCAAAUCUUUUUUUUUUUUUUAAAAAAAAAGUUUUGGACUUGAGCAAUCCCAACACCAAUCUUUUUUAGAUCGGUGGCGGGUUGCUUGAAAUGCAGGUGCAGCUGGACAUUCUCCUGAGCUAAAAGCAUAUUUAUUUAGUCCCGUCAAACGGAUUAUUACUUUUGCUGCAGCUAAUAUAAAGGGAGUUUGACCGUAUUGGCUGACUGAUGCAGGAUUUCACAAGGGUCGGCAACGAUUCUUGUAAAACUCGAUCUCAAAUCAAGUAAGACUACCCGCUGAACUUAA